CACCACGUUGCCGUCGUCACGCUGUCGUGUUCACAAUUCACGCCGCCAUCAAUCGGAUGGUAGGCUGUUUCUUCAUCUCAAGUAUUUGUUAAUUUUGAUACAAUUAACAAUAGCCUUGACUCGCUUUCUAGCAUAUGCUCCAAAUUGGAUGGAAAGAACUGCUGCUACACAACAGGAUAUAAGUGGGCAUUUCAAAAUGGCACCUGACCAGAACUUUGUUGUACUGAGUUGCUUGUAUUGUCCUAAUAGAGGCCCAGCAUAUUGACUUUUGAUCUUGUCGUGUACUCAAUAGUUCACAAGACUUUCUGUAAAGUGGACGAAAAUUGAACAUUUUGAAGCACCAUUGCCGGGCUGUUUUAAUUUGUAGGUGAAA
This is a long non-coding RNA of Carya illinoinensis, 373 nucleotides long. RefSeq lists it as uncharacterized. Lineage: Eukaryota; Viridiplantae; Streptophyta; Magnoliopsida; Fagales; Juglandaceae. The transcript is spliced from 2 exons. The record is from RefSeq and is a predicted model, not a curated record.